UCCAAGCAGAAUUGUUAAUAUCUUCAAUAACAAAUAAAAUUGUAUCCAGUGCUUUGCCUGUUGUGUGUGCUUAGUUCAUAUUUUUCUUGGUUUGAGAGAAGUCCAUAGGAAUUGGGAUUGGAAACUAUUUGUUCAUUUAUUCAGCAAAUACUUACUGAACACUUACUAUAUGACGUGUCAGAGGAGGCCAAAGUGUUAUGGGUUGAAUUGUGUCCCACCAACUGUGACCUCCAGGAUCUCAGAAUGUGACUUAUUUGGAAAUACAGUCUUUAUAGAGGUAUCAAGAGGAAAUGAGGUCAUUAGACUGGGCCCUGAUGCAGUAUGACUGGUGUACUUAUUAGGGAAAUUUGGACACAGAGACAGGCGCACGUAGAAGGAAGACAUAGUGAAGACUGUUGAAAACAGACAAGAUGCCCUAAGUGGAGCCACUUAUGCUGAGCCCCAAGUCACGAAACCAAGACUUAAUUACAGUUUCGGCUCUCCCAGAAAUAGAAUCUUACACCAGUCAAUCAGGAAUAGCCUGACCAGCACCAGUCAGGUAAUCUGCCUGGCAGGCCCCUGCCAUCCCCUAUAAGGAAAGUAAUCUUGCAAUAGCCAAUCUGCUGUUUUGCCUCGUGCAACUUCUUUAUUCCUGCUCCCUUCUGCCUAUAAAAUCUCUUGCCUUGUAUAACUCUUCAGGGAGCUUUUCCAUCUACUAGAUUGGAUGCUGCUUGAUUCAUGAAUCUUUGAAUAGAGCCAAUAAGAUCUUUAAAAUUUACUCAGUUGAAUUUGUUAUUUAAUCAAGACACACACAGGGAGAACACUACAUAAACUUGAAGGCAGAGAGCAAGGUGAUGCUUCUACAAGCCAAGGAAUGCCAAAGAUUGCCUGCAAACCAUCAGAAGCUAGAAGAAAGGCAUGGAACAAAUCCUUCCAUCACAGUCCUCGGAGAGGACCAACUCUGCUGACACCUUGAUCCUGUUCUAGCCUCCAGAAAAGUUGGAGGCGUCCUCAACUGGAAAUAGCUAAGAGAUGGAGCAAAGCUCCAGGAUCCUUGGCAGCAGAGGGAAGAUAAGGAAGAUGUAUAAGUACCCCUUGAAGGGUCUCACACUGGAGUGCAUGCCCUGGUCUGGCUGCCCCCUAUCCGUGUUGUUCCAGGUGUUGCCCAGGCCACGCCGAGCUGCUGUGGGAAGAAGACCAUGGACGGGGCCAUUUUGAUUUCAUGUACUUGAUGAUUUUUAGCCAGAAUGUCUGUGAAUGAAAUUAUAACAGUUAGGUGAAUUAAACUGUUUUUAAAACAAUGAUCCUUCCCCCGCCCCCACCAGCAGAAUUUAAAGCUCGAGAAGGGAAUUUAUAUUUGGGCCAAUAAGAAGAAACCAAAGAAUUGAUAAGAAGCUUGGCAUGAGACCAAGGUCUUCCAAUCUUCCAAAGGCAAAAAACUAGGUUCUAAAAAGGAGCAGGAAGUUGUCAUUCUUUGGCAAUAUGCUCAUUUUAAAAUAAUAUUUCUUUUUCUGCCCAAACUGUUGUUUCCAAAUUUGGAGAUUUUUGUAUCGAAUGCUCUUUAAAUUUCCAAUUUUUUUUUUUUAAACAUUGCAACAAAACUGGAAAGAUCUAUGGAUUUACCUUGAUUUUAAAGAAUUAAUUUUGUGUUUCAUUCUGUAGUGAUACAUGCAGUUAUUACAGAGUGAAAAAUUGGAAAUUUGGUGUACAGCAAGUAUUUGGAUUUUUACACUAAAACCAAAAAUGCUAAAUACUAUGCAAAUGUGAUAAAACAUGGGAUUUUAAUUGCAAUUAAAGUAUAUUAUAAUGGGAAAAAAUGGUGUCUUUUAAGAAGGAAAUAGUUCUAGCAGGACCCUGGACUUAUAUGAAUCUAUAAAAUUUUCCUCUUGAACAUUCUGAGUAAGAUUCAUUUUACAGUCAGUGUUUAUUUUUUGUUUUUGUUUUUUCCUUUCAUAUGCUUUGGUUAUAUAUUAUAAUAUUUUAAAUCGGCUUGGGGGAAUUUGAACUCAUAAUUUUAUAGUAACUGAUAUUUGUAUUUAUUCAGUGACUUCUGAGAAUUUGCAAUUCUACACUAUGUUUAUCUGUAAUUAAAAUAAGGAUCCUGAUAAUGUGAAUUUCAACCAGGAAUCUUUUGAACAAAACCUCAAAA
Molecule: non-coding RNA, 2128 nt
Organism: Kogia breviceps (pygmy sperm whale)
Lineage: Eukaryota; Metazoa; Chordata; Mammalia; Artiodactyla; Physeteridae
Source: RefSeq, a predicted model, not a curated record